This 1225-nucleotide ribosomal RNA is filed under the name metagenome. RNAcentral's name for it is "bacterial LSU rRNA". It matches the Rfam family "Bacterial large subunit ribosomal RNA", at positions 1564 to 2798 of the family's 2925-position model. The record is from RNAcentral.
UGAAUACGAGACGCUAAGGCGUCGAAGUAGUGUAUGUCAUACUUCCAAGAAAAGCUUGCACUGUCAUAGAUAAAAAACGCCUGUACCAUAACCGACACAGGUGGGUAGGUAGAGUAUACUAAGGGGCGCGAGAUAACUCUCUCUAAGGAACUCGGCAAAAUAACUCCGUAACUUCGGGAGAAGGAGUGCCUUAUUAUUAAGGCUGCAAUAACAAGAUCCAAGCAACUGUUUAUCAAAAACACAGGUCUCCGCUAAGUCGUAAGACGAUGUAUGGGGGCUGACGCCUGCCCAGUGCCAGAAGGUUAAAGAAGUUGGUUAGCAUUUGCGAAGCUGAUAACUGAAGCCCUGGUGAACGGCGGCCGUAACAAUAACGGUCCUAAGGUAGCGAAAUUCCUUGUCGGGUAAGUUCCGACCCGCACGAAAGGCGUAAUGAUUUGGAUACUGUCUCGGAGAGGGGCUCGGUGAAAUAGACUUGUCUGUGAAGAUGCGGACUACCUGCACCAGGACAGAAAGACCCUAUGAAGCUUUACUGUAACUUGAAAUUGAAAUUGGACUUUAUUCGCGCAGCAUAGGUGGGAGGCGUUGAUUAUAAUCUUGUGGGAUUAUUGGAGCCAUCAGUGAGAUACCACUCUUGUAAUGUUAGAUUUCUAACUUUGAAUCAUUAUCUGGUCAAAGAACAGUUUCAGGCGGGCAGUUUGACUGGGGCGGUCGCCUCCUAAACGGUAACGGAGGCGUACAAAGGUUUCCUCUGAACGGUUAGAAAUCGUAUCUAGAGUGUAAAGGCAUAAGGAAGCUUGACUGUGAGACCUACAAGUCGAGCAGGGACGAAAGUCGGUCUUAGUGAUCUGACGGUACUGAGUGGAAAGGCCGUCACUCAACGGAUAAAAGUUACUCUAAGGAUAACAGGCUGAUCUCCCCCAAGAGUUCACAUCGACGGGGAGGUUUGGCACCUCGAUGUCGGCUCAUCGCAUCCUGGGGCGGUAGUACGUCCCAAGGGUUGGGCUGUUCGCCCAUGAAAGCGGUACGCGAGCUGGGUUCAGAACGUCGUGAGACAGUUCGGUCCAUAUCCGGUGUAGGCGUUAGAAUGUUGAGAGGAGCCUUCUUUAGUACGAGAGGACCGAGAAGGACAUACCUCUGGUGUACCAGUUAUCGUGCCAACGGUAAACGCUGGGUAGCUAUGUAUGGAGUGGAUAACCGCUGAAAGCAUCUAAGUGGGAAGCCCACC